CACUUUGAUUUCUGCUUGUGCCAGUUAGUCAGUUAGUUCAAGGUAAUAUGUGACCUGUUUUAUAGCAGCCCUUGGUUGCUUGCUUGCUCUCCUUCUCUACUUGAUAAUGUGAGAGGCUGUGCUGAUGGGGCAGAGAUGCACGGUUCUAAAAAUGGCAGGAGUGAGGGAGAAGCAAGGCACUACCAGAUCUCCCAGGGCUUCUGAAGACAUGAACAACUUUCAAGAGCUUUUGUCUUAUUUUUAAGAUAACUAUGAAGUUCUUGCUUGGCUUUUUCUUGUCGUUUCUCCAACGUUUGUGCCACGAGGUGGCAAUGUUGUCACCCAUGUCAUUUCACUGUGGUGCCUUGAGUGGUAAUAUUUCAAUCUCAGUGCUGCUGUCCUUUUCUGAAGCUUCAGUUGUGCUUUUGCUACUGAUAGAUGCUGCUGUUGGAGCAGACACUUGCUUCUUUACUACAUAAUAAAAUUUGAGGAUUGCCAUGUAUAACACAGAAUGAGUCAGCUUUGAAGUUCUCUGAUCUCUUUCCUUUUCUUUUUGUAAGCCAUAUGGACUAAACUAAACUGCUGACAAGAUGUCUCUUGGCACUCGUUUCCCAAGAUGUCUCUGUGAAAUUUUCAGAUGUGUUUUGUAGACCUCAUGAUCUGUAAAUUAACUGCAGACUUGAUGAGGCAGGAAAAUGGGAAAGAGUGGCUGUAUUCCCUGAAGAGUGGGAGAUGAUUUAAAGGAAGCACAGCAGGAGGAAGUCUGGGAUUCUGCAAUGGUGAGGGGUCCUUGGGGCUCUUCUGGGUGCCUUGGGGAUUACCCUUCUCCCUUGACUCAAUUACUAGCACAUUAUACCCCUUGACACAAAAUGGACAAGAGAACAUGCUCUUCCUGCUUGAACCUCCACACAGACAUCAGAAAUAAGCAACUUUGACUAGCUUCUUUCAUCGCAGGAGCUAUGUUGCUUGCAAAGAGAGGGCAUUGUGCUGACUGGCAUGAAAUGAUCUGCAGGAGUCCUUGGAUCACUUGGCAAUACUGAGCUUCUUUGUGGCAAUAGAUUUUCUGUUAAAAUUUACUCCUCAGAGGUGCUGAAGAUACCUGAGGGUUUACCUUUAAGUAAAGUGACUGGGAGCACAGAGGCUCCCUUCUGGAAGCAGGCACCAGGAAGUCAAUAGAAAGCUGUCCCCAGCAUUCUUCACCUGGCACCACCUUGUGAACAAGCACCAAGUCUCAAUGAAUGAGAAGUGACUCACGACUUCCACAUGGAGGAUGGUGUCUCUUUGAUCCACUCUGGAGCCUCAGCAGGAAUCUGAAUUCAUCCUGCAGGUCUUCUCCUGGAAGCAUGUUGUUUGACAGAUGCAAAUAAUGGCUGGCAUGUGAAGAGGAGCUGGAUGAUGAAGUAUACUGCAACAGUAAUACUGACAUGAAAUUCAAAGGAAUUCUUGGCAAACGAAAUAAUCAGCUAGAGCAAGACACGCUACUGCUGAAUAUAUAUAUAUACUGGAGGUUUUCUGGAUAUAGGGGUUGCACACAUUAAGUAUGCAGCUGGGGUAGGGUAGGUACUCGUCAGCCUCACUGCACGUGUUCUGCAUUUUCAGGAUUUCUGUCCAGAUGGGGACAUCUACUUAGAAAAGCAGGAAAAACAAAUACUUCUUGAGCACCUGGGAAGGGUGAUGUGCGUGAGUUUAGCAUAGGGCUCUGCAGUCAAGACCUGAUCAGAACCUCAGUCUCCUAAAGCCCAGGCUUGAACCUGGACAAUGAGCUUCUCUCUGCCAUGUGUACUAAAGUGCUACUGCUCUGUAGUUCAUGUACUGUUGCGAGCCAGAUUUUUCUGAUAAACAAUGCUUCUUCUUCGCUGGCAUCCAGGAGCUUGAGUUACGAUCCUGUCCCAAGGUUGGUAGCUUGUAAGGAGCCAGUGAUCACUGAGCAGUUCUUCUGUAUCUUGCUAUCUGUACAUGCACACCCUCACACUACCUUUUCCUCUCCUCCCCCCAUGCCAUCUUCCUCAAAAAAAAGUUGAAAUAUUGCACUGAGAAAGGGAAAAA
This is a long non-coding RNA of Oxyura jamaicensis (ruddy duck), 2025 nucleotides long. RefSeq lists it as uncharacterized. The record is from RefSeq and is a predicted model, not a curated record. Lineage: Eukaryota; Metazoa; Chordata; Aves; Anseriformes; Anatidae. The transcript is spliced from 3 exons.